GAUGAACGCUGGCGGCGUGCCUAAUACAUGCAAGUCGAGCGAACCUCUUCGGAGGUUAGCGGCGGACGGGUGAGUAACACGUGGGCAACCUACCUUGUAGAUGGGGAUAACAUCGAGAAAUCGGUGCUAAUACUGAAUAACACUUUUCUCCACAUGGAGAAAAGUUAAAAGUUGGCUUUUGCUAACACUACAAGAUGGGCCCGCGGCGCAUUAGCUAGUUGGUGAGGUAACGGCUCACCAAGGCGACGAUGCGUAGCCGACCUGAGAGGGUGAUCGGCCACACGGGGACGGAGACACGGCCCAGACUCCUACGGGAGGCAGCAGUAGGGAAUCUUCCGCAAUGGACGAAAGUCUGACGGAGCAACGCCGCGUGAGUGAUGAAGGCCUUCGGGUCGUAAAACUCUGUUGUUAGGGAAGAACAAGUACCGUUCGAAUAGGGCGGUACCGUGACGGUACCUAACCAGAAAGCCACGGCUAACUACGUGCCAGCCGCCGCCGUAA
Molecule: ribosomal RNA, 501 nt
Filed under: uncultured bacterium
Lineage: Bacteria
Description: partial 16S ribosomal RNA
Rfam family: Bacterial small subunit ribosomal RNA
Source: RNAcentral